UUGAAAACCCAAACCCGCCUCUUACGCACCGCCUCGCCGGACUGAGAAUCAAUUCCACCGCCGACGAGCAGGAGAAAGGUAACUCACGGUGCUGCAAAACCCUUGCCGCCGUCGUCGUCGUCGUCGUCAUCCUCUUGCUCCGACUGGAAAGAGAGUGUGUGUGUGUGUGUGUGUGUGUGUGUGUCUCUCUCUCUCUCUCUCUCCCCUCUAUUUUCCAUUGUCCUUCGCUCUUCGGUGGAAGCUUUGUUGUUUUUAUAGCUGCAAAAUCCCCUUUUGCCUUCUCUUUUGAACCUCUGGAAGUAGCCUCUGGCAUUAGAACUGUGAAAGGUGAUCAGCCAAAUUGGAAAUGUUUCAAUUUUGCACACAAAAGUAGGGACGCGCAUACCAACAACACUGUAAGAACACCAACAAAAAAUACUACCACAACCUAUACACAACAAGAGCAAUGGCUCACUGUAUGCCAGGCUUAAACCCUCAAAGAACCUUCUACCCUAAGGUUCCAAUUUCCACCUUUUCAACCCCUUCAAUCUUUUCCUUCAGAACCAAAAAUUCAAAGUUCAAGAACUUCUCAACUACUGUAUUGGCUAUGGCAGACUGGAAGCAACACCAAGACCGGCAACCUUUGUCCUUGGAUGCUUUGAUCAAUGGUGCUCGCAAAGAAGAGUUUAUGGGCCCUAUCAAGAAAACCUUGCCCAACUGUCUUUCGGAAACCAAUUUGCACCUCACAGUUCCUGGUCUCAAAUCUAAAACCAGAGGCAAGGUUAGAGAUAUUUAUGACAAUGGGGAUUAUUUAGUUUUGGUCACAACUGAUCGACAAAGUGCUUUUGACAGAAUUCUGGCUUCCAUUCCAUUCAAAGGGCAGGUUCUUAAUGAGACAAGUUUAUGGUGGUUUAACAAAACUGAACAUAUAACUCCAAAUGCAAUUGUUGCUGCUCCUGAUGAAAAUGUAACGAUUGCAACAAAAUGUUCAGUUUUCCCAGUUGAGUUUGUUGUUAGAGGUUUUGUAACUGGAAGUACCGAUACAUCAUUAUGGACAGUGUACAAGAAAGGCAUUCGAAAUUACUGUGGCAAUGUACUCCCAGAAGGCAUGGUUAAAAAUCAAAAGCUUCCUACAAAUAUUCUCACACCAACAACUAAGGCUGCAGAUCAUGAUGUUCCUGUGACUCCAGAUGAGAUUAUUAAUAGUGGACUCAUGACUCAAGCUGAUUAUGAGGAAGUAAGCAAGAAGGCAUUAAGUUUGUUUCAGUAUGGACAGCAUGUGGCCCAGGAACAUGGCUUGAUAUUAGUUGAUACCAAAUAUGAAUUUGGAAAGGGACGUGAUGGUUCCAUUUUUUUGAUUGAUGAGGUGCAUACACCUGAUUCAAGCAGAUACUGGAUUGCAAGUUCUUAUGAGGAACGCUUUCAGAAUGGUCUUGAACCUGAGAAUAUUGAUAAGGAGUUCUUGAGGUUGUGGUUCAAGGAUCACUGCAAUCCAUAUGAAGACAAGGUCCUUCCUGAUGCUCCUGAGGAACUUGUUAGUGAGCUAUCCUGGCGAUAUAUUUUCUUGUACGAGACAAUAACAAAGUUAAAAUUCAAAUUGCCAUCAACAGAGGAGCCGAUUCAUGAUCGGAUAUCUCGUAAUGUUGCACUUGCAUUGUCAUCUCUGAAGUGAUUUCAUCAUCUGAAGCAAAAAUUUUGUCUUACAAACGAUGAGUAUUUGGCGAAUUGAUCUUUUGACAGAAUUUUCUCAGGAGCGUUUUUAUAUGUUCCCUAUGGAUUGUGUCAAAACAAUAAAGUGAAAAACUAAGGCUUGUCAAUUUUUUAAAAGAGGUGAGGGGGGUUAAAAAAAUUGAAUAUAAAUUCAUCAUUUUUGGUUGUUGAAGCUAUUUUACGGACAUUAAUAAGGCUACCUGGAGUUUGUAAGCUAGAAAUAUUUUUUCUACUUUCUUUGUUUAAAGAAAAUUAUAAAUAAAAUCAAAAUAAAGUAGAAAUAUAAGAACAUAUGGUAUGUGAUAUUUAUUUUACAUAUAUUUGUUUUCAUUUUUCCUUUUUUAUUGCCAAAAAAAAAAAAAAAAAAAGCAAACGCACUAAGUUUUUCAGCUACAAAAUUUUCUUUGAAGGUUGUUUCUAGAAAAAUUAAAAAGAAUUAUUACAUAUAUGAGGUAUUUCUAGAUAUUAAGUUUUCAAAAGAAAUUGACAUAAUCCAUGAUCUGAGCUUGAGCGCUUUUUACAUAAAAUGAUAGUUUAUAAAUUUUCAUACGAGACAAAUAGAUGUAUAAUCUGCAUGUCAAGCAAUCUACUUUGUUCCAAAAUAAAAAAUCAGUUAUAUUAAAUUCCAGCUAAAAUAGAAGUUUUUGCAUAAUAGUUAGGAGAAAAAAAAAAAAAAAACAA
Molecule: RNA transcript, 2370 nt
Organism: Ziziphus jujuba (common jujube)
Lineage: Eukaryota; Viridiplantae; Streptophyta; Magnoliopsida; Rosales; Rhamnaceae
Gene name: phosphoribosylaminoimidazole-succinocarboxamide synthase, chloroplastic
Exons: 14
Source: RefSeq, a predicted model, not a curated record